This 465-nucleotide ribosomal RNA is filed under the name uncultured Pseudomonas sp. RNAcentral describes it as "bacterial SSU rRNA". It matches the Rfam family "Bacterial small subunit ribosomal RNA", at positions 338 to 795 of the family's 1533-position model. The record is from RNAcentral. Lineage: Bacteria; Pseudomonadati; Pseudomonadota; Gammaproteobacteria; Pseudomonadales; Pseudomonadaceae.
CCUACGGGGGGCAGCAGUGGGGAAUAUUGGACAAUGGGCGAAAGCCUGAUCCAGCCAUGCCGCGUGUGUGAAGAAGGUCUUCGGAUUGUAAAGCACUUUAAGUUGGGAGGAAGGGCAGUUACCUAAUACGUGAUUGUUUUGACGUUACCGACAGAAUAAGCACCGGCUAACUCUGUGCCAGCAGCCGCGGUAAUACAGAGGGUGCAAGCGUUAAUCGGAAUUACUGGGCGUAAAGCGCGCGUAGGUGGUUUGUUAAGUUGGAUGUGAAAUCCCCGGGCUCAACCUGGGAACUGCAUUCAAAACUGACUGACUAGAGUAUGGUAGAGGGUGGUGGAAUUUCCUGUGUAGCGGUGAAAUGCGUAGAUAUAGGAAGGAACACCAGUGGCGAAGGCGACCACCUGGACUAAUACUGACACUGAGGUGCGAAAGCGUGGGGAGCAAACAGGAUUAGAUACCCCUGUAGUC